UUGACCUCGAAUCAGGUAGGAAUACGCGCUGAACUUAAGCAUAUCAAUAAGCGCAGGAAAAGAAACCAACAGGGAUUGCCUCAGUAACGGCGAGUGAAGCGGCAACAGCUCAAAUUUGAAAUCUGGCCUCUUGGGGCCCGAGUUGUAAUUUGUAGAGGAUGUUUUGGGUACCGCCCCGGUUUAAAUUUCUUGGAACAGAAUGUCAAAGAGGGUGAGAAUCCCGUCUUGGACCGGCGGUAGGGCCUGUGUAAAACUCCUUCGACGAGUCGAGUUGUUUGGGAAUGCAGCUCAAAAUGGGUGGUAAAUUUCAUCUAAAGCUAAAUAUUGGCCAGAGACCGAUAGCGCACAAGUAGAGUGAUCGAAAGAUGAAAAGCACUUUGAAAAGAGAGUUAAACAGUAUGUGAAAUUGUUGAAAGGGAAGCGCUUGCAACCAGACUUGCGCGCGGCGGUUCCCCUUGCCUUUUGGCCAGGGUACUCCGCCGCGUCCAGGCCAACAUCGGUUUUGGGGGCCAGUUAAAGGCCCUGGGAAUGUACCUACCCACGGGUAGACUUAUAGACCAGGGUGCCAUGUGGCCUCCCGGGACCGAGGAACGCGCUUCGGCUCGGAUGUUGGCGUAAUGGUUGUCAGCGACCCGUCUUGAAACACGGACCAAGGAGUCUAACAUCUAUGCGAGUGUUUGGGUGUCAAACCCGGAACGCGGAAUGAAAGUGAACGGAGGUAGGAAGCUUCGGCUGCACUAUCGACCGAUCCUGAAGUUUACGGAUGGAUUUGAGUAAGAGCAUAGCUGUUGGGACCCGAAAGAUGGUGAACUAUGCCUGAAUAGGGUGAAGCCAGAGGAAACUCUGGUGGAGGCUCGCAGCGGUUCUGACGUGCAAAUCGAUCGUCAAAUUUGGGUAUAGGGGCGAAAGACUAAUCGAAC
This 920-nucleotide ribosomal RNA is filed under the name Chaetothyriales sp. CN-Cre-Bo1-1. RNAcentral describes it as "eukaryotic LSU rRNA". It matches the Rfam family "Eukaryotic large subunit ribosomal RNA", at positions 1 to 940 of the family's 3401-position model. The record is from RNAcentral. Lineage: Eukaryota; Fungi; Ascomycota; Eurotiomycetes; Chaetothyriales.